GCGGGGGUGUCCGAGCAAGGUCUAAGGAGCCGGACUUAAGAUCUACCAAAGAUAGGGCAUCCGGUGGCCAUAGGGCCUCCGUGGGUUCAAAUCCCACCCCCCGCA
RNAcentral lists this transfer RNA (105 nucleotides) under candidate division MSBL1 archaeon SCGC-AAA385D11. RNAcentral describes it as "candidate divison MSBL1 archaeon SCGC-AAA385D11 tRNA". It matches the Rfam family "tRNA". From Rfam's summary of the family: Transfer RNA (tRNA) molecules are approximately 80 nucleotides in length. Their secondary structure includes four short double-helical elements and three loops (D, anti-codon, and T loops). Further hydrogen bonds mediate the characteristic L-shaped molecular structure. tRNAs have two regions of fundamental functional importance: the anti-codon, which is responsible for specific mRNA codon recognition, and the 3' end, to which the tRNAs corresponding amino acid is attached (by aminoacyl-tRNA synthetases). tRNAs cope with the degeneracy of the genetic code in two manners: having more than one tRNA (with a specific anti-codon) for a particular amino acid; and 'wobble' base-pairing, i.e. permitting non-standard base-pairing at the 3rd anti-codon position. Lineage: Archaea; Methanobacteriati; Methanobacteriota. The record is from Rfam by way of RNAcentral.